UAGGGAAUAUUGGACAAUGGGCGCAAGCCUGAUCCAGCAAUGCCGCGUGUGUGAUGAAGGCCUGCGGGUUGUAAAGCACUUUCGGUGGGGAAGAAAUACUCAAAGUUAAUAGCUUUGAGGGUUGACGUUACCCACAGAAGAAGCACCGGCUAACUCUGCGCCAGCAGCCGCGGUAAUACGUAGGGGGCGAGCGUUAUUCGGAAUUACUGGGUGUAAAGGGUAUGUAGGCGGCCCUUCAAGUCGCGUGUCAAAGUCCAGUGCUCAACGCUGGGUGUGCACGCGAUACUGACGGGCUUGAGGGCUGGAGAGGUGAGCGGAAUUCCCGGUGUAGUGGUAAAAUACGUAGAGAUCGGGAGGAACACCAGCGGCGCAGGCGGCUCACUAGACAGUUUCUGACGCUAAGAUACGAAAGCGUGGGGAGCAAACA
Molecule: ribosomal RNA, 427 nt
Filed under: uncultured prokaryote
Description: bacterial SSU rRNA
Rfam family: Bacterial small subunit ribosomal RNA
Source: RNAcentral